RNAcentral lists this long non-coding RNA (1690 nucleotides) under Capra hircus (goat). Its description in RNAcentral is "lncRNA (ENSCHIG00000004282.1)". Lineage: Eukaryota; Metazoa; Chordata; Mammalia; Artiodactyla; Bovidae. The record is from RNAcentral.
GGAAGAAAGUGUUUGAUGAGAAAGAAGAUAGUAGUGAUGCCUUACACGUGGAUCCUGCGUUAAGCUGACAAAGUGCUUGUGCCUCUGUGACAUGGUUAGAGUUUCACGCAGACCCGGGGAGGGGCAGUGCAGAUGUGGAAAAGUCGUGCAUAAAGAGGUAAAAGUUACAGUUUCCUCAAGGUGAGCUGGUGGAAUCAGGAGGAUGGGUCAUUCAGUGCUCCCCUUAAUACAGUUCAAAAGGCGGAAAUACCUCAAACUUCAGGGGUCACUCCCCAAGUACCACGUUACCCCGUGUGGGGGCGCUAUGAAGCUGUAUUUUGAAAUACCGACCGGGUCUAUUUGAUCAGGAUUUCCGGCCCCACCCCCACCCACCCUCCACACUCUGACAGCAGUAACCCGCAUUCUAGGCGACUAGCUUCAGGGGCAGAGGGAGAAAGAGAACAUUCCCAGCUUUCAAGAGUUUCAAGAGAGACACUGAAAAGGCAACAAACGCAAUAGUUUGAAAGGUCUUGCGCCUCAGUAACGAGGUUUUCACGUGACGCAAGGUAUUUCUUCUCCACGUGGACAUUUUGAUAAAUUUAGUCUGGAAUAUUGUGUUUGUGCACCAGGACAUCAAAAUGGAAAGUCGGGGGAUCACUGUUACUUCAACAAAUAACAAAUUAUAAAGCAAGGGACGUCAGUGGAGUUAUCAAGGUUCGAAAGUGUCUCAGGACCCAUUUACCAUCGAGUUAGGCCUCAGCACUCCUGGGAAACAAUGCCCAGAUGAAGAAACUGAGAUUGGAGGAUAGAGGUCAUACAAACACUGGGUAGCAAACUUGGGACUCACAGAAGCCCUUUCCAUGCCGACGGUGGCCCCCACAACCCCCUAAACUGUAAGCUUUGGGUUUCGGUUGAUUCCUGACUCCACCUGUCUUCUCUGACCUUAAAAUCCAGAGGUGAAACUACUGAGGCUUCAGAUCACACAAAGACGUGUCGCGCUAAGGAAAAGUCACUGCCUCCAGCACACUCUGCGUUGUCUUGACCCGCUGCCUGUGUCACCAGAGUUGCCCUUCUCCUCAAGACCCAGCGCAAAACCCACCUUCUCUGUGAGCCCUUUCCCAACCCCCAGAACUGGAAGCAAUCCCUCUUUGCCCCACACUCGCAUAGAUCUUUUUCUCCUCUCUCCUUUGGAACCCUUACCACCUUAUUUCCCUGGUACUCAGAAACAGUUGGAAACAAUGUGUGAAACUCUGCUUGUAUGCCCGGGAGUGGGAUUGCUGGAUCAACCCGUACAUUUAUUCUCGGUUUUUUAAGGAAACUCCAUACUGUUUUCUAUAGUGGCUGCACCAAUUUACACAUUCCCACCAACAGUGGAAGAGGGUUCCCUUUUCUCCACACCCUCUCCAGCAUCUUUUGUUUGUAAAUUUUUUGAUGAUGGCCAUUCAGACUGGUGUGAGGUCAUACCUCACUGUAGUUUUGAUAUGCAUUUCUCUAGUAAUUUAGUGAUGCUGAGCAUGUGCCUCUUAGGCAUCCAUAUGUCUUUUUGAAGAAAUGCCUAUUUCGGUCUUCUGUCCAUUUUUUGAUUGGGUUGUUUGUUGUUUUGAUAUUGAGUUACUUGAGCAGUUGGAGGGGUGGAGUGGGAAGGAAGUCCGAGAGAGGGGAUAUAUGUAUAAAUAUAGCUGACUCACUUCAUUGUACAGCAGAAAUUAAU